Molecule: ribosomal RNA, 492 nt
Filed under: Blommersia grandisonae
Lineage: Eukaryota; Metazoa; Chordata; Amphibia; Anura; Mantellidae
Description: partial 12S ribosomal RNA
Rfam family: Bacterial small subunit ribosomal RNA
Source: RNAcentral
GCCUACCGUAAAAAUUAAUUUACAUCAACAAACGCCAGGGUAUUACGAGCACAAGCUUAAAAUCCAAAGGAUUUGACGGUGUCCCACCCACCUAGAGGAGCCUGUUCUAUAAUCGAUAAUCCUCGAUACACCCCACCAUUUCUCGCUUUUUCAGCCUGUAUACCUCCGUCGUAAGCUUACCAUUUGAGUGCUAAAAAGUAAGUUUAAGGAUUUAUCAUCAACACGUCAGGUCAAGGUGCAGCCAAUGAAAUGGUAAGCAAUGGGCUACAAUUUCUAUAAUAGAACAAACGAAACACUACAUGAAAAAUAGUCAUGAAGGCGGAUUUAGUAGUAAAGAGGGAGUAAAGUGCCCCCUUUAAUAAGGCUCUGGGACGUGUACAAACCGCCCGUCACCCUCUUCAAUUGUAAUCUCUUAGAUUCUUAACACCCCUUAACACUUUAGAAGAGGCAAGUCGUAACAUGGUAAGUGUACUGGAAAGUGUACUUGGUAAA